UAAAAUACUGAAGUUUAUUUCUGGAAACAUAAGUAGUUACAUUUACAUUAUGUGUAGCACACUGUCUUUCCAAAUGUCACCCAACUCCACACACCGAAUUCAGAGCAGAGUAUCCUCGGAGAGUGGGGGCAUUGACUUGAGGAAAACGAUGGAAGCGUUUCAAUGUAUAUGUGAUGAUGCCUUGUGUAUUUCAGAAAAUAAAGAAGUGUGGAAAAAUACUGUGUUUGGGAUUUAGGUGGUGAGUACCUAGAGGCUCUAUGUUGUUCUCUGUACUAUUCUGUGAGUUCUAACCAAGAAUAAAUAAAUAACAAAUUACUGUUAUUUAUUGACAGCAGGGGCUGUCACUGCUGGGGUCUCAGUGCCAGGGGUGUCAGUGCUGCGGACAUCAAUGUUGGGGUGUCAGUGCUGGGGACGUCAGUGUUGGGGUGUCAUGCUGGGGACAUCAGUGUUGGGGUGUCAGUGCUGGGAGUCUCAGUGUUGGGGAUGCCAUUGCUGGGGGUGUCAGUGCUGGAGGUAUGAGUGCUGGGGGUGUCAGUGCUGGGGGUCUCAGUGUUGGGGGUGUCAGUGCUGGAGGUAUGAGUGCUGGGGGACUCAGUGUUGGGGUAUUAGUGCUGGGAGUGUCAGUGCAGGGCUGUCAGUGAUGGGGGCUCAGUACCUGGGUUGUC
This 665-nucleotide long non-coding RNA is filed under the name Pan troglodytes (chimpanzee). RNAcentral describes it as "lincRNA". The record is from RNAcentral. Lineage: Eukaryota; Metazoa; Chordata; Mammalia; Primates; Hominidae.